UCUUCCAAAUAUGGCGUCAACUGGGUUAUCCGGGGGAUAUGAAGAAUUAAGAGGCGCGCCAGAUCUUCCAUUAAACAAGGACUAUCAUUUAUUUGUGUGUUACACACGUGAAAACUUGAAUGAAGUUCGUAUAAUCGUAGGUAAUUUGGAGAAGGAGGGGUACAAGUGCUGCUAUUAUGAAAGGGAUUUUACGGCUGGGCAAUCAGUACUUGAAAACACGGACCAGGCGAUGAACAAAAGUCUUCAUAUGCUAGUUAUUCUCUCAGAAGAUUUGACAACCCAACCGUUUGCCAUUCAUGAAAUUAAGGAAGCACUACAUAAAAGAAUAAGUGAUGGCUAUUCUAUUAUUCCAAUUCGGAUAGAGCCAUGUACGGUUCCGGAAUGUCUUAAGUCCAUAACUUGGAUUGAGUGUGCUGACGAUGACAUGCAUUGUAUGCAUAAAAAGAUUAUCGAUGCCGUUGUCCGAAAUGAUAUAGCGUCGGGGUUGAAGUAUCCAAAUAAUGGAGAAACUCAAGUGUUCUUCUUGAGUUCUUCUGGUGGCUUCCGUUCGUUGUCUAUUCCACGAUUUCACUUGAAAAUAGAGCCCACCAGUCUCUUGUCAAACAACAUUCAGCUGAAUAUGGAGGACAUCGAGGAAAUAGAAGCUAUCGUGAAUGAAUCUUUCCUUAUAAAAAAGUUGCAUGUUUUCGUCUUUUAUGGUCGCAUGGCAAUGCUUGUGUAUGGAGAAUUUUUACUAUUGCUGAUAGCAGUUAGUAUGCUCUUGGUAUUUGCACUGCUCGGUAAAAAACGGAUGACGUCGCCACCGUAGGAAGUGUGGUUGCUCGUACGAUUUUUCUUUGUCAUCUGACAAUAUCUGUUGCAGUGUUGUUUUCCUUGGUCGUGUGCAAAAGGUUACGAUUUUUUAGAGGAGUUAUUGACCAGGGAAACGAACAGAUACAAAAGAGAUUAUGGAGAUUUAACCAAAAUUACAAGACAUCACACACAUUUGUGUUGUUUCAUCACUAUACACGAUGUGUAAAAAUCAUAAAAUACAACACCAAACCUUGCAGGACAUUUCUAGCUAGACGCUGUGAACGGAAUGAAAACUUGAAAGACAAACUCGAUCCAAAUCUUCCGAUAGAGGAAGCUAUCGAUGUCCUGUUCGACAACUUACUAAGGAGUAACAUUCAAACUGUUGAACGAAUGGUAUGGCCUACUCGUCAUUAUUUGAAAAAUGGAGCGCAGUGCCUAUGUAUGCAAAUAGAAUGUGGUUAAGCACACGGUGGUCGGCCACUUCUCCCGCAAUAUUUUGAACAUUAAGGCAGAUCCAACGAUGCUGUCAACAAAAAAAGACUUAACACGUAUUAAUUCAAUAAACAUCCUUAAUUUUGAGUGCCCGAAAACCGGUUUAAACUAAGUGCGUUCUUGCUUAGAUUCCCCUGAUCGUGCCGAUGGUGGAUACCCAAACAUGACAAUAUUAAUAUAUUUGUUUAUGGGUCGGCCAUUAUUUUUGAACGUGUUCGUAUUUAUUUAAAACAUUUUCACGACCUGUCAGCGACACAGAGCCAUAACAAUGCACCCUGCCCCUGUGGUCAGUGAAAUAGUGAAUGUUUCAAUUGUCAUAAACGAUUAAAAGUACCUUCGAAAGCCCCAAUAUUUAGGCUUUUAUUUGAAUUUGAAAAAGAGCACUAUUUCUGGCGUUUACUUAGACUAUUUUUAUCAAGUUACAUGUACGCUUUUAAAAAAAUAUAGUAUAGGUCUGGACAAUAUCAAUAUUACAUUAUUAUGUCAAUUGAAUACCAGGCAAACUUCAAUAACUGACCCUUUAAUUUGCGUUUAAUGACAGGC
Mya arenaria is the source of this 1827-nucleotide long non-coding RNA. RefSeq lists it as uncharacterized. NCBI's taxonomy places the organism in Eukaryota, Metazoa, Mollusca, Bivalvia, Myida, Myidae. The record is from RefSeq and is a predicted model, not a curated record. The transcript is spliced from 8 exons.